AGCGAACGUUUGCGGCGGGCUUAACACAUGCAAGUCGAACGAGAAUCCCUUCGGGGAGGAAAGUGGCGCACGGGUGCGUAACACGUGGAUAACCAACCCAUUGGUUUGGGACAACACCGGGAAACUGGUGCUAAUACCAGAUGUGUCGCAGCUGUCUUCAGGCGGUUGCGAGAAAGGCCCGCAAGGGUCGCCAACGGACGGGUCCGCGUCCCAUCAGCUAGUUGGUGAGGUAAUGGCUCACCAAGGCAAAGACGGGUAGCUGGUCUGAGAGGAUGAUCAGCCACACUGGAACUGAGACACGGUCCAGACUCCUACGGGAGGCAGCAGUGGGGAAUAUUGCGCAAUGGGCGAAAGCCUGACGCAGCCACGCCGCGUGAGCGAAGAAGGCCUCGG
Molecule: ribosomal RNA, 393 nt
Filed under: uncultured bacterium
Lineage: Bacteria
Description: bacterial SSU rRNA
Rfam family: Bacterial small subunit ribosomal RNA
Source: RNAcentral